AGUGAACGCUGGCGGUAGGCCUAACACAUGCAAGUCGAACGGCAGCACAGUAAGAGCUUGCUCUUACGGUUGGCGAGUGGCGGACGGGUGAGGAAUACAUCGGAAUCUACUUUUUCGUGGGGGAUAACGUAGGGAAACUUACGCUAAUACCGCAUACGACCUACGGGUGAAAGCAGGGGAUCUUCGGACCUUUCGCGAUUGAAUGAGCCGAUGUCGGAUUAGCUAGUUGGCGUGGUAAAGGCCCACCAAGGCGACGAUCCGUAGCUGGUCUGAGAGGAUGAUCAGCCACACUGGAACUGGGACACGGUCCAGACUCCUACGGGAGGCAGCAGUGGGGAAUAUUGGACAAUGGGCGCAAGCCUGAUCCAGCCAUACCGCGUGGGUGAAGAAGGCCUUCGGGUUGUAAAGCCCUUUUGUUGGGAAAGAAAAGCAGCAGGUUAAUACCCCGCUGUUCUGACGGUACCCAAAGAAUAAGCACCGGCUAACUUCGUG
This 492-nucleotide ribosomal RNA is filed under the name uncultured bacterium. Its description in RNAcentral is "partial 16S ribosomal RNA". It matches the Rfam family "Bacterial small subunit ribosomal RNA", at positions 29 to 507 of the family's 1533-position model. The record is from RNAcentral.